ACCUGAUAAAGGCAAACCAAUCGAAAGGUUGGGACGCAAAGCCACAGGCCUUCGCUUGCCAAGGAGGUAAGCAUGGCGGCUGGGUUGCCGAA
RNAcentral lists this non-coding RNA (92 nucleotides) under Candidatus Fraseribacteriota. Its description in RNAcentral is "Candidatus Fraserbacteria c-di-GMP sequence". It matches the Rfam family "c-di-GMP-I riboswitch aptamer". From Rfam's summary of the family: GEMM was predicted in a large-scale screen for bacterial structured RNA regulatory elements. Genes associated with GEMM are involved in a diverse array of functions, including chemotaxis regulation, signal transduction, secretion and chitin. The record is from RNAcentral.